RNAcentral lists this unclassified non-coding RNA (4292 nucleotides) under Daphnia pulicaria. Its description in RNAcentral is "uncharacterized LOC124311199, transcript variant X3". Lineage: Eukaryota; Metazoa; Arthropoda; Branchiopoda; Diplostraca; Daphniidae. The record is from RNAcentral.
UUCGGCAGUCUUUCCAGUUUGAGCGCCGAAUGUGCACGUUGUCCAUAAUAUUCAAAUUUUUCAGAUAAGCGACCGUCAGAAUUCGGUUAACGAAAGUGUUAAAUUCAUCAUGAACUUGAAAGAAAAACUUUUGUGAUAUUUGCGUUAAAUUGCUAGUGAUCAAGAGUCGAUCCACGUGGUUGGUGCAGGAGGACAGCAAAUGACUACUCUAGAGACAUCCCAUCAGAAAUGUUUCACUACCACAUUUCUAAACUGCACUUCAGAUUCCUGUGCAUCAUCUGGCCGUCAAGUCAUUUUUAAAGGGGGCGGUUGUGACUUCCGCAUUCGGCGCUGACAAAAUCUCUCGCUCAACACCACACACCAACGACCGGAGCCCUCCAGAAAGUCAUCCGUCACACACGGAAACAUUCACGUGGAAAAAUAAUUCCCCCUCCAGAAUAAAAAUCAAAUUGAUAUUGUCUUGUUGCCUUUCGGAUCCAUCUGUAGCUGCUAGUCAUCCGGAAUCCGUCGGCUCGGCGGAUGCGUUUACUUUGUGCUGGUUGACUAUUUUGGAGACCAAAUGGUCUUGAAUGGGUUCUGACGCUGCCGUGACCCUCAACCACAAUGAACCAGCCUCUCCUGAUCAGACGGUUGUUUACGAUGUCUUGGCUCCUGGUGGCUUUGGGAUUUCUCCUAGCGGCUUCAUCGGCCUCGGCCUCCAAUCGUGAAAAGCUGGCCGGAUCACACCAGCAACUUGGACGGAUGACUCACCAGCACCACCAACGCAACGGCACUUUGCGAAAUGGCGGCGUGAAACGGGCGGUGGCGGGGCCAACAGAGACGACGGACGUCAAAUCGACGUCGUCCGACGCCCUGUCCAAUUCGCCUCCGUUCGUGGUGGCCGAAGCGGAGCCGUCGCCACACAAGACGAUGAUCGCCGUCCAGACGUCGCUCAACGGCAACAUCUUCAUGCACUGCCCAGUGGACAUGACGGAAGACUUUCAGGUCUCCUGGGUGCGGUUACCCGACUGGCGAAUCGUGGCUUCGGGGCGGAACAUUUAUAACAAGGACGAACGAUUCCGGGUCCUGCACGUCGAAGGCACCGACGAGUGGACGCUGCAGAUCAAGUACGCUGCCCUGGUCGACCAAGGACUCUACGAAUGUCAGGUUUCCACCGAAACGGGGAUCAUGAUUUACUAUUACAACGUCAGUGUCAUCGUGCCGGACACGUCCAUCGUCGGCGGAAGCGAGUACCACGUCGACAUGGGCAGCGCCAUCCAGCUGACUUGCAUCAUCAGAAAUAUUCCUCAGGAGCCGCAGUUUGUCUUCUGGUAUCACAACGACCGGAUGAUCAAUUAUGACUCAAUAACUGACAGCGCCAGUAGCAGCAGUUCGGGGUCGAAGACUUCCAGCGAGGCCGGCAGCAGCUCGUCCAGCGACCGAAACGGGAGCCGGACGAGAGCAAAGACCCGCCCGCGCGUGGAGGUGAUCACGGAAAUUGAAAACAAUUCAAUGACGGACGAUCGCGAGCAGCAGCCAGCCGAAGGUGCAGCAGCAGCAGCGGCAGAUCGAAGUGUCACUAGUCAGUUGACGAUACGCCACGUCACCGAUCUGGACUCUGGCAACUACACUUGCGCCCCGUCCAACGCCGAGCCGGCCAGCACCAUGGUCUACGUCUCCGAAGGAGACGACGCCGCCGCCGCCAUUCAAGUCAGCGUCGGAGAGACGACAAAUGUCAGUGACGUCGUGCCAGCCAAUUCGGCCGUUUCGGCCGCUUCGUCGCCCAUUUCCACAGCAACUGCGGCCGCCUGUACGACGAGUCGAACGUCGCCGUUUGCGCUCCUAUUCCUUUCAUCCUGCCUCCUGGCAUUGGCCAACCGUCAAGUCGACCCAAGGUGAUUUGUCUUUUCUCACGACCGUGGAGAACAGACAGCAAAAAAAUAAAAACACAAAAUGUUUUUCACUCGAAAAUGAAAGGGAAAAAAACAAAAAAAAAUAAAAAUAACAGAUGGGCCUAUCGACUGAAUUUCGUAUCGUGUCAUCAUUUUACUAAUACCUGAUUUCGGUGUGUUUCAUUUUAACGAGAGGAGAAAGAGAACUACAUCCGUUGAAUGCCGAUGCUCCUCUUGAUUGAUUUCAAAGAUAUAUUUAUAAAUAAAAACAAACAAACAAACAGUAUACAUACUAACUACAUACAGUUUUACAAUGGCUAAAUAGUCACUUGAUUCCUGUGGUAUAUACGUGUAAAGUAUUAUUGCGAUGUCAAACAUUAUUGAUAUUUAUUCGAUGUCAAUUUCAACCCUGCGCCCACAACAGUGAAAUUAUAAUCUCCGUGUUUUCAUAUUUGAGUUGGAUUCGAUUGAGACUCUCAGUCUGGCUGAUAUUAUAUUUUAAAUACGGUUGCCAUUGUCAUCCUCUUCGAUUCGUCUAGCUCCAUUUCCAAUCGAUAGGUUUUCCAAGUGGAAAAAUUGUUGAUUCUAUUGAUUGGCUGAGAUUGAUUGACGUGUGUAAAACCCCCCUUUCAUUUAAAAAAAAAAGCUGGUGUUAUAUCAUUUUAAUUUGCUUAUUAUGUCAGCCGAUUAUGUUGUCAAUAAUCCAAUAUGCGAAUUGCAGCUACUGUAAUAGUGUGUGACAUUUGCUUACCCAUCCCUUGAUAAAACUGACACGAGAUGGGUAGACGACAUUUCCUGCACUAUUUACAUCAGUACCUGUGGAAACUGCACGUAAAUGAGACGGUCAGAGAUGAUAAAACUGAUAUUCAUGUGUACAGAGUGAGCGAAAUUUAUUAGCUUUACGAUUAUAUAAAUGGUGAAGUGUGUGCUCGGCGUUCCCGGCAUCCCAGUUUGUCAUCUCCUUAAUUUUCCAAGUCCUGAUCAUACUCAAAAGCAUCUCAUCACACAGCGCGUGUAUAUCUUCUCGAAACUGUGUAUAUAUGCCGCGUGGUGAUUGUGUCAAGAGAGAGGAGCAACAGCCAAUACAUUCUGACAUUUAAAAGGAAAAAAAAAUCUGUUGACGACGACACAAAGAAAGCCAGCAAGCUUCUGAGAAAGACAACGGCUUGUCUUUAGUGACCCAGGCCGUUUCCAUUGUUAGAUUAAGACCCACCGAGAGCUCUGCAAGGGAGAUCCGACACGAUAACAACGACCACAUUGCUACUACUACCCUACUACAAGAUUGGGAAUUCACGCUCUACUCGAAAGUGCCAUGACCGCGUUUGAUUUAUCCGAAGUCCGAACAAGCUUCACUGGCAUCGCUGCUCUAGACGCGUCCGGGCACGUCUGAACAUGCCGAAUUUCGUACAGUCACGUCUGGUACCAAAUAGCGUGAGUUUUUCCCGACGUAUCAGCAGUGUUCCUCGAGCGCUCUGACUCACCACUUCAGCCACUAUCGUCCAGAAUCUCUUCCGGCCACUCCCUCCGAUGCUCUCAUAUUUGUCAAGAACGAUCACGGCACCUGAAUUCUCAUUUGCAGUGGAUUCUCCGUCUCAUAUUCUAACGCAGUCUGUUCUCUACUCUUCUGCACACAUUUAAAGGAAAAUCAGAAAAAAAUUGGACUAUUUUGUGAAAAUCUGACAUGAAUUUUUCAGGAUUUAUAUUUGAUUCUCACGGCAAUGUUGUUACAUACAUUGAUGGAGCUUGUCCGUUUAAUGGCUAUCCGCAUGCUAAGGGAGGGAUAGGUGUAUGGUUCGGCGACGAUCAUCCCUUAAACGUGAGCGAGCCAUUGGAUCGCGAAGGAUUUCCUCCCACCAACCAGGUGGCGGAAAUUAAAGCAGCAAUCAGAGCUUGUCAAAUCUUAAAAGAUUUUGGCGUUAGACGGGUGUCAUUUUACACAGAUUCGCAGUAUCUAAUUGAUUCGAUGACCAACUGGAUCAACAAAUGGAUGAAAAACGGCUGGUUAAAAUCUGACGGAACACCGCUAAAGCAUAAGCAUUAUUACCAGGAGCUGCUUAAUUUAAUAGAUAAUUUUAAAGUUUACUGGGUACACGUUCCAUCGGCGGAGAACAAAGCCGACCGUUUGGCAAAGAAAGGCGCCGAAAAAUAUUGAAGAAUAACUCUCUCUGAGCUGGCUCUUAUUUUGUUUCUCUCAAAUCUCAAAGAAUGCCAUGCUAGACAUGCAAAAAUUCAAUAAAUAAACUCAAUGGUUUACAUUUACAAGUUUAGUUUUUUUUUCUGUAUCCCUCCCCCUGUCUUACGUUCGCCAAUUUCUCAUUGGCCAAUUAUUUUUUUCAUUGGAUUAGUAUUGGCGAAAGCGUUUGUAUAAUAUAUGGUGUUUUCUUCUUUACUCGUUAAUAAAUUCAAAAAUAGUGUUUAGUU